UACAGAGGGUGCAAGCGUUGUUCGGAAUUAUUGGGCGUAAAGCGCGUGUAGGCGGCUUUGCAAGUCGGGUGUGAAAUCCCCAGGCUUAACCUGGGAACUGCAUUCGAGACUGCAUUGCUAGAGUAUGGGAGAGGGAAGUGGAAUUUCCGGUGUAGCGGUGAAAUGCGUAGAUAUCGGAAGGAACAUCAGUGGCGAAAGCGACUUCCUGGACCAAUACUGACGCUCAUGUGCGAAAGCGUGGGGAGCAAACAGG
RNAcentral lists this ribosomal RNA (253 nucleotides) under uncultured bacterium. Its description in RNAcentral is "partial 16S ribosomal RNA". It matches the Rfam family "Bacterial small subunit ribosomal RNA", at positions 524 to 776 of the family's 1533-position model. The record is from RNAcentral.